This 253-nucleotide ribosomal RNA is filed under the name uncultured bacterium. RNAcentral's name for it is "partial 16S ribosomal RNA". It matches the Rfam family "Bacterial small subunit ribosomal RNA", at positions 524 to 776 of the family's 1533-position model. The record is from RNAcentral.
UACAGAGGUGGCAAGCGUUGUUCGGAAUUACUGGGCGUAAAGCGUGCGCAGGCGGUUUUGUAAGCCAGAUGUGAAAUCCCCGGGCUUAACCUGGGAAUGGCAUUUGGGACUGCAAGGCUUGAGUUUGGCAGAGGAGACUGGAAUUCCUGGUGUAGCAGUGAAAUGCGUAGAUAUCAGGAGGAAUACCGAUGGCGAAGGCAGGUCUCUGGGCUAGAACUGACGCUCAUGCACGAAAGCGUGGGGAGCAAACGGG